This is a long non-coding RNA of Neopsephotus bourkii (Bourke's parrot), 1013 nucleotides long. RefSeq lists it as uncharacterized. The record is from RefSeq and is a predicted model, not a curated record. The transcript has 2 exons. Lineage: Eukaryota; Metazoa; Chordata; Aves; Psittaciformes; Psittacidae.
AAAAUAACUGCUCCUACUGCAAAUCCAAAUUCUGAUCAGAAGAUCUCAUGAGCCUCUUUGCUUGGCACAUGCAUCUUGUACAUUUAUUUUAUCUCAUUAACUUCGCUUAUCUAAAUUGUAUUACUUCUUUCAGCUCAAAGCCUUGCUGUGUCUUCUAUAAACAAUUUCCACCUCUCUCUGUGCUUUAUCUCAUUUAUAGGUGUGAUUACUGUUACACUUGAUAACAUCUUGAACUUUCCUAGCAUAUCCCCUAGGACCCCCAAGUGCUUUAUGACUAAUUUAUUGUGAGAGUCAGACACAAGAAACCCUUUCCAGAAGCAGCAGCAACGGAGAAAUACGGAUCAUAAAGGAACUCUGUAGCAGACCAGCACAUAGAUAAGUGUUUAACCAAUAUCAUUUGUCCUUAUUAAUGUUGUAUAAUGUGUUUGGAUUCUUCUGCAUCAUCAGCUUUUAAUAACAAGAGACUUUAUUUAACGCUGAAUUUGGUAUGUAGCUAGGCGGGGGUGGAGAAAAAAGCCAGCUUGCUUUUAAAUAGAUCCACAUGCAUCUCCUUUUCAUCAUUAGAAUAAAUUUCCAGAGGGGUGAGCAGAGGUUUAGCUGCAUGACUCUCAUUAAUGUUAACUUUAUUUCAGUAAUGAGGUGAAAGUACAAUCACUGAAGCUAAUAUAAUCAGAGUGAUGAGACAAAAGUCUGCUGCCAUAAAAUACUGCUGAAGAAGAUGACAUUGACAAUACUGAUAGCAACACAGAUCACACACAGCUGCUGCUUCCACUGUGAGAAACACCAAUUCUGGAAAGCAUAUUCAUUAUCUGGCUGUUCAAAGCAACAGAGCAUGCAAGCCUCACCCUGCCUGGGUUACCUGAGAAAUCAACAUCUCCGUCUGAUUAAGUGACUGCCAGCCAGUCACCUUCUCACUCUAACCUUGAUGUGGCAGGACAGUGACAAGCGCAUAUAGUGUAACAUCACAAAAUAUAUCACUGAUGCUCACAAAUAAAUAGCUUAAUUUGUUUUAA